UUUGUACUCCCUCCGUCCCAUAAUUCGUGUCUUAAAUUUGUCUAAAUACAGAUGUAUCUAGUUACAUUUUAGUGUUAGAUACAUCCGUAUCUAAACAAAUGUAAGACAAGAAUUUUGGGACGAAGGGAGUACUAC
Molecule: non-coding RNA, 135 nt
Organism: Triticum aestivum (bread wheat)
Lineage: Eukaryota; Viridiplantae; Streptophyta; Magnoliopsida; Poales; Poaceae
Source: Rfam